GCCCUGGUGGUGUAGCCUGGAACUCCUCUCCGAGGAGCAGCAGCUAUCAUGAAGCCCUGUCGAGGCUUCGACCCGGGUUCAAAUCCCGGCCAGGGCG
This 97-nucleotide transfer RNA is filed under the name Candidatus Woesearchaeota archaeon. RNAcentral's name for it is "tRNA-Asp". It matches the Rfam family "tRNA". From Rfam's summary of the family: Transfer RNA (tRNA) molecules are approximately 80 nucleotides in length. Their secondary structure includes four short double-helical elements and three loops (D, anti-codon, and T loops). Further hydrogen bonds mediate the characteristic L-shaped molecular structure. tRNAs have two regions of fundamental functional importance: the anti-codon, which is responsible for specific mRNA codon recognition, and the 3' end, to which the tRNAs corresponding amino acid is attached (by aminoacyl-tRNA synthetases). tRNAs cope with the degeneracy of the genetic code in two manners: having more than one tRNA (with a specific anti-codon) for a particular amino acid; and 'wobble' base-pairing, i.e. permitting non-standard base-pairing at the 3rd anti-codon position. The record is from RNAcentral. Lineage: Archaea; Nanobdellati; Candidatus Woesearchaeota.